RNAcentral lists this ribosomal RNA (301 nucleotides) under uncultured bacterium. RNAcentral describes it as "partial 16S ribosomal RNA". It matches the Rfam family "Bacterial small subunit ribosomal RNA", at positions 509 to 807 of the family's 1533-position model. The record is from RNAcentral.
CAGCAGCCGCGGUAAUGCGAAGGGUGCAAGCGUUAAUCGGAAUUACUGGGCGUAAAGCGUGCGUAGGCGGUGAGUUAAGUCUGCUGUGAAAUCCCCGGGCUCAACCCGGGAAUGGCAGUGGAUACUGGCUCGCUAGAGUGUGUCAGAGGAUGGUGGAAUUCCCGGUGUAGCGGUGAAAUGCGUAGAGAUCGGGAGGAACAUCAGUGGCGAAGGCGGCCAUCUGGGACAACACUGACGCUGAGGCACGAAAGCGUGGGGAGCAAACAGGAUUAGAGACCCCGGUAGUCCCUGUCUCUUAUAC